UGAACGCUGGCGGCAUGCCUUACACAUGCAAGUCGAACGGCAGCACGGGUGCUUGCACCUGGUGGCGAGUGGCGAACGGGUGAGUAAUACAUCGGAACAUGUCCUGUAGUGGGGGAUAGCCCGGCGAAAGCCGGAUUAAUACCGCAUACGAUCUACGGAUGAAAGCGGGGGACCUUCGGGCCUCGCGCUAUAGGGUUGGCCGAUGGCUGAUUAGCUAGUUGGUGGGGUAAAGGCCUACCAAGGCGACGAUCAGUAGCUGGUCUGAGAGGACGACCAGCCACACUGGGACUGAGACACGGCCCAGACUCCUACGGGAGGCAGCAGUGGGGAAUUUUGGACAAUGGGCGAAAGCCUGAUCCAGCAAUGCCGCGUGUGUGAAGAAGGCCUUCGGGUUGUAAAGCACUUUUGUCCGGAAAGAAAUCCUUGGCUCUAAUACAGUCGGGGGAUGACGGUACCGGAAGAAUAAGCACCGGCUAACUACGUGCCAGCAGCCGCGGUAAUACGUAGGGUGCGAGCGUUAAUCGGAAUUACUGGGCGUAAAGCGUGCGCAGGCGGUUUGCUAAGACCGAUGUGAAAUCCCCGGGCUCAACCUGGGAACUGCAUUGGUGACUGGCAGGCUAGAGUAUGGCAGAGGGGGGUAGAAUUCCACGUGUAGCAGUGAAAUGCGUAGAGAUGUGGAGGAAUACCGAUGGCGAAGGCAGCCCCCUGGGCCAAUACUGACGCUCAUGCACGAAAGCGUGGGGGAGCAAACAGGAUUAGAUACCCUGGUAGUCCACGCCCUAAACGAUGUCAACUAGUUGUUGGGGAUUCAUUUCCUUAGUAACGUAGCUAACGCGUGAAGUUGACCGCCUGGGGAGUACGGUCGCAAGAUUAAAACUCAAAGGAAUUGACGGGGACCCGCACAAGCGGUGGAUGAUGUGGAUUAAUUCGAUGCAACGCGAAAAACCUUACCUACCCUUGACAUGGUCGGAAUCCCGCUGAGAGGUGGGAGUGCUCGAAAGAGAACCGGCGCACAGGUGCUGCAUGGCUGUCGUCAGCUCGUGUCGUGAGAUGUUGGGUUAAGUCCCGCAACGAGCGCAACCCUUGUCCUUAGUUGCUACGCAAGAGCACUCUAAGGAGACUGCCGGUGACAAACCGGAGGAAGGUGGGGAUGACGUCAAGUCCUCAUGGCCCUUAUGGGUAGGGCUUCACGCGUCAUACAAUGGUCGGAACAGAGGGUUGCCAACCCGCGAGGGGGAGCUAAUCCCAGAAAACCGAUCGUAGUCCGGAUUGCACUCUGCAACUCGAGUGCAUGAAGCUGGAAUCGCUAGUAAUCGCGGAUCAGCAUGCCGCGGUGAAUACGUUCCCGGGUCUUGUACUCACCGCCC
RNAcentral lists this ribosomal RNA (1367 nucleotides) under uncultured beta proteobacterium. RNAcentral describes it as "16S ribosomal RNA". It matches the Rfam family "Bacterial small subunit ribosomal RNA", at positions 30 to 1395 of the family's 1533-position model. The record is from RNAcentral. Lineage: Bacteria; Pseudomonadati; Pseudomonadota; Betaproteobacteria.